UACGUAGGGUGCGGGCGUUAAUCGGAAUCACUGGGCGUAAAGCGCACGUAGACGGACUCUUAAGUCGGGGGUGAAAUCCUGGAGCUCAACUCCAGAACUGCCUUCGAUACUGGCGAUCUUGAGUCCGGAAGAGGUGAGUGGAACUCCUAGUGUAGAGGUGGAAUUCGUAGAUAUUAGGAAGAACACCAGUGGCGAAGGCGGCUCACUGGUCCGGUACUGACGCUGAGGUGCGAAAGCGUGGGGAGCAAACAGG
Molecule: ribosomal RNA, 253 nt
Filed under: uncultured bacterium
Lineage: Bacteria
Description: partial 16S ribosomal RNA
Rfam family: Bacterial small subunit ribosomal RNA
Source: RNAcentral